GCUCAGUAACACGUGGACAACGUACCCUAAAGUGGAGCAUAAUCUCGGGAAACUGAGGAUAAUUCUCCAUAGACCAUGAGAUCUGGAAUGACUUAUGGUUCAAAGUUCCGGCGCUUUAGGAUCGGUCUGCGGCCUAUCAGGUAGUAGUGGGUGUAACGUACCCCCUAGCCGUUGACGGGUAUGGGCCUUGAGAGAGGGAGCCCAGAGUUGGAUUCUGAGACACGAAUCCAGGCCCUACGGGGCGCAGCAGUCGCGAAAACUUCACAAUGGGCGAAAGCCCGAUGAGGGAAUUCCUAGUGCUAGCACUUUUGUGCUAGCUUUUCUUCAGCGUAGAUAACUGGAGGAAUAAGGGCUGGGUAAGACGGGUGCCAGCCGCCGCGGUAAUACCCGCAGCCCGAGUGGUGGUCGAUUUUAUUGAGUCUAAAACGUUCGUAGCCGGUCUAAUAAAUCCUUGGGUAAAUCGGAAGGCUUAACUUUCCGAAUUCCGAGGAGACUGUUAGGCUUGGGAUCGGGAGAGGUAAGAGGUACUUCAGGGGUAGGGGUAAAAUCCUGUAAUCCUUGGAGGACCACCGGUGGCGAAGGCGUCUUACUAGAACGAAUCCGACGGUGAGGGACGAAGCCCUAGGUCGCAAACGGGAUUAGAUACCCCGGUAGUCUAGGGUGUAAACGCUGCAGACUUGGUGUUGGGGGCCCUUCGGGGGCAUUCAGUGCCGGAGAGAAGUUGUUAAGUCUGCUACUUGGGGAGUACGUCCGCAAGGAUGAAACUUAAAGGAAUUGGCGGGGGAGCACCGCAACGGGAGGAGCGUGCGGUUUAAUUGGAUUCAACACCGGAAAACUCACCAAGGGAGACCAUCACAUGAAAGCCAGGCUAAUGACUUUGCUUGAUUCUUGGAGAAGUGG
RNAcentral lists this ribosomal RNA (900 nucleotides) under uncultured archaeon. Its description in RNAcentral is "bacterial SSU rRNA". It matches the Rfam family "Archaeal small subunit ribosomal RNA", at positions 88 to 990 of the family's 1478-position model. The record is from RNAcentral.